ACGGAAGGCAGCAGUGGGGAAUAUUGGGCAAUGGGCGAAAGCCUGACCCAGCAAUGCCGCGUGAAGGAAGAAGGUCUUCGGAUUGUAAACUUCUUUUAUGAGGGACGAAGGAUUUGACGGUACCUCAUGAAUAAGCCACGGCUAACUACGUGCCAGCAGCCGCGGUAAUGCGUAGGUGGCAAGCGUUAUCCGGAUUUACUGGGUGUAAAGGGCGCGUAGGCGGGGAAGCAAGUCAGAUGUGAAAUCUAUGGGCUUAACUCAUAGACUGCAUUUGAAACCGUUUCUCUUGAGUGCUGGAGAGGUAGAUGGAAUUCCUAGUGUAGCGGUGAAAUGCGUAGAUAUUAGGAAGAACACCAGUGGCGAAGGCGAUCUACUGGACAGUAACUGACGCUGAGGCGCGAAAGCGUGGGGAGCAAACAGGAUUAGAUACCCUGGUA
RNAcentral lists this ribosomal RNA (437 nucleotides) under uncultured Oscillospiraceae bacterium. RNAcentral's name for it is "partial 16S ribosomal RNA". It matches the Rfam family "Bacterial small subunit ribosomal RNA", at positions 341 to 792 of the family's 1533-position model. Lineage: Bacteria; Bacillati; Bacillota; Clostridia; Eubacteriales; Oscillospiraceae. The record is from RNAcentral.